Molecule: ribosomal RNA, 410 nt
Filed under: uncultured Methylomirabilota bacterium
Lineage: Bacteria; Methylomirabilota (SeqCode)
Description: bacterial SSU rRNA
Rfam family: Bacterial small subunit ribosomal RNA
Source: RNAcentral
AGCGUGGAGACAGGUGGUGCAUGGCUGUCGUCAGCUCGUGUCGUGAGAUGUUGGGUUAAGUCCCGCAACGAGCGCAACCCUCACCCCUUGUUGCUACCAGGUAAAGCUGGGCACUCUAGGGGAACUGCCCCGGUCAACGGGGAGGGAGGCGGGGGUGACGUCAAGUCAUCAUGCCCCUUACGUCCUGGGCUACACACGUGCUACAAUGGCCGGUACAAAGGGAUGCCACACCGCGAGGUAGAGCUAAACCCAAAAAGCCGGUCUAAGUUCAGAUUGGAGUCUGCAACUCGACUCCAUGAAGGAGGAAUCGCUAGUAAUCGCGUGUCAGCACGACGCGGUGAAUACGUUCCCGGGCCUUGUACACACCGCCCGUCACACCACGAAAGCCAGCUGUACUCGAAGUCGCUGAG